RNAcentral lists this ribosomal RNA (452 nucleotides) under uncultured bacterium. Its description in RNAcentral is "bacterial SSU rRNA". It matches the Rfam family "Bacterial small subunit ribosomal RNA", at positions 8 to 507 of the family's 1533-position model. The record is from RNAcentral.
AGAGUUUGAUCAUGGCUCAGAACGAACGCUGGCGGCAUGCCUAACACAUGCAAGUCGAACGAACUCUUCGGAGUUAGUGGCGCACGGGUGCGUAACGCGUGGGAAUCUGCCCUUGGGUACGGAAUAACUCAGAGAAAUUUGUGCUAAUACCGUAUAAUGACUUCGGUCCAAAGAUUUAUCGCCCAAGGAUGAGCCCGCGUAAGAUUAGCUAGUUGGUGGGGUAAAAGCCUACCAAGGCGACGAUCUUUAGCUGGUCUGAGAGGAUGAUCAGCCACACUGGGACUGAGACACGGCCCAGACUCCUACGGGAGGCAGCAGUGGGAAUAUUGGACAAUGGGCGAAAGCCUGAUCCAGCAAUGCCGCGUGAGUGAUGAAGGCCUUAGGGUUGUAAAGCUCUUUUACCAGGGAAGAUGAUGACUGUACCUGGAGAAUAAGCCCCGGCUAACUCCGUG